This 474-nucleotide ribosomal RNA is filed under the name Halomonas sp. M17-C5. RNAcentral describes it as "bacterial SSU rRNA". It matches the Rfam family "Bacterial small subunit ribosomal RNA", at positions 1 to 490 of the family's 1533-position model. Lineage: Bacteria; Pseudomonadati; Pseudomonadota; Gammaproteobacteria; Oceanospirillales; Halomonadaceae. The record is from RNAcentral.
UUGAGUUUGAUCAUGGCUCAGAUUGAACGCUGGCGGCAGGCCUAACACAUGCAAGUCGAGCGGAAACGAUGGAAGCUUGCUUCCAGGCGUCGAGCGGCGGACGGGUGAGUAAUGCAUGGGAAUCUGCCCGAUAGUGGGGGAUAACCUGGGGAAACCCAGGCUAAUACCGCAUACGUCCUACGGGAGAAAGCAGGGGAUCUUCGGACCUUGCGCUAUCGGAUGAGCCCAUGUCGGAUUAGCUUGUUGGUGAGGUAAUGGCUCACCAAGGCGACGAUCCGUAGCUGGUCUGAGAGGAUGAUCAGCCACAUCGGGACUGAGACACGGCCCGAACUCCUACGGGAGGCAGCAGUGGGGAAUAUUGGACAAUGGGCGAAAGCCUGAUCCAGCCAUGCCGCGUGUGUGAAGAAGGCCCUCGGGUUGUAAAGCACUUUCAGUGGGGAAGAAAGCCUUGGGAUUAAUACUACCCGAUGGAAG